AGCAGCCGCGGUAAUUCCAGCUCCAAUAGCGUAUAUUAAAGUUGUUGCAGUUAAAAAGCUCGUAGUUGAAUUUCGGGAUCAAUACGUCGGUCGUGCUUUUUUGGUACGCACUGGCGUCAUUGGUUUCUCCUUUCUGACGAACCAUGAUGUCAUUAAUUUGGUGUUAUGGGGAGUUAGGACUGUUACUUUGAAAAAAUUAGAGUGUUUAAAGCAGGCAUUAGCUUGAAUACAUUAGCAUGGAAUAAUGAAAUAGGACGUUCGAUCCUAUUUUGUUGGUUUCUAGGAUCAACGUAAUGAUUAAUAGGGAUAGUUGGG
Molecule: ribosomal RNA, 315 nt
Filed under: uncultured Glomus
Lineage: Eukaryota; Fungi; Glomeromycota; Glomeromycetes; Glomerales; Glomeraceae
Description: SSU rRNA
Rfam family: Eukaryotic small subunit ribosomal RNA
Source: RNAcentral